This 459-nucleotide ribosomal RNA is filed under the name uncultured bacterium. Its description in RNAcentral is "partial 16S ribosomal RNA". It matches the Rfam family "Bacterial small subunit ribosomal RNA", at positions 339 to 795 of the family's 1533-position model. The record is from RNAcentral.
CUACGGGACGCUGCAGUAAGGAAUAUUGCGCAAUGGAGGCAACUCUGACGCAGCCAUGCCGCGUGCAGGAAGAAGGCCUUAUGGGUCGUAAACUGCUUUUAUUUAGGAAUAAACCCCCGAACGUGUUCGGGGCUGAAGGUACUAAACGAAUAAGCACCGGCUAACUCCGUGCCAGCAGCCGCGGUAAUACGGAGGGUGCAAGCGUUAUCCGGAUUUAUUGGGUUUAAAGGGUGCGCAGGCGGGCUAUUAAGUCAGUGGUGAAAUCCCGGGGCUCAACUCCGGAACUGCCAUUGAUACUGAUAGUCUUGAGUUUGGUUGAAGUGGGCGGAAUGUAGCAUGUAGCGGUGAAAUGCAUAGAUAUGCUACAGAACACCAAUCGCGAAGGCAGCUCACUAAGCCAAAACUGACGCUCAUGCACGAAAGCGUGGGGAUCAAACAGGAUUAGAUACGCGCGUAGUC